UGCCAGUCCUCCCGCGCGAGAACACAGUCAGCCUGUUUGGAGCGUGACGUUGUUACGUUGUGCGUCUGGUGUAGCCACUCUGUUAAAGUGCUCAUUCCAGCAAUUUGUCACGGACUCGAAGCUUUCCAACUGAUGAAGCACAGAGAAGAAAAUUGACCCAAGCCAAAGGACCAAAUUUUGUUCUAUGUUGUGACAGAGUGCAUAUGUGUAACCAGCACAUAAAAUCUAUGCAGUGCCUUAAGACUAAUGCUGUACCGAGUCAUUUUAACUGGGACAACUUUUAAUGCCUUACUGACAAGGCAAUUGGCUUUUGAAUGGUAAACAUCUCAUCACUGAUGUGUAAGAGUCUGCACUGAUGGAAAACGGCACACUGGGUGUCUUCUCAAUGGAAUACAUCUGUGUUAUGACACCUGGUCCUGGUGCAUAAUGGGCUGGGUUGAUUUAACAACAGGCAAGCAUGUUAAGUAUGGGCACACAUCUUUAGGUCUUUGCCAGGUAAAUCCCACAUCUUCACUUUGGCAAGAAAUAAUGCCACUGAAACAAAUGCUUAUUUUCGCAUGCUGUAAAUUCAUAUCUUGAGUCCUGGAAAGCUUGAAUAAGAUGAAUACAUUUUUUCACAAGAAGUUCAGUGCCAUAAUGAAGAAAUGAGGAGAAAACUCAAAUUUAGGAGAUUCAAGGUUUAUUCUUUUGUUUCUUUCUAUGUUGACUUUCUGUUUUUAUUCUAUUACUUAAACCAUAAGUCCUAUAUACUUAUGUUUUAUAUUUGAUUUCCCAGAUGGCUUCAUAAAAUUAAUGUUUUAUUUUAUCAUCCUCCUCACGAAGGCGUUCUUGCUUUGUUAUAUCUGCAAGUUCGUAAGAGAGGGAGGUACAAUAAAUUGGGUGGUUUUGAGGUAUUGAUGUGGUAAACAUCAAAUGAUCAAAACCAUUCAAACAUUUCAUUUUUUUGUUUUGUAACCCUUGGAUCAGUCUGAGUCAGCUACUGUCAAAGUUAGACUUAAAUACAUUCUUACAUAUAUACUGUGAGUCACAAUUUGCUGUAAUAAACUGUCAUUACUGAAAAGCUG
This is a long non-coding RNA of Erpetoichthys calabaricus (reedfish), 1064 nucleotides long. RefSeq lists it as uncharacterized. The transcript is spliced from 4 exons. The record is from RefSeq and is a predicted model, not a curated record. Lineage: Eukaryota; Metazoa; Chordata; Cladistia; Polypteriformes; Polypteridae.